AAAACAAUAGCAUUUUUAAAAUGCGUACCGGUUUCGGCCCAGUAAGAGCGUCCAAACGCAUUGUUUU
This 67-nucleotide transfer RNA is filed under the name Amynthas divergens. RNAcentral describes it as "tRNA-Arg". Lineage: Eukaryota; Metazoa; Annelida; Clitellata; Crassiclitellata; Megascolecidae. The record is from RNAcentral.